GACAGAGGGUGCAAACGUUGCUCGGAAUUACUGGGCGUAAAGCGCGUGUAGGCGGUUCCGCCAGUCUGGGGUGAAAGCCCGGGGCUCAACCCCGGAAGCGCAUUGGAUACUACGGAGCUUGAGUCCUGAAGAGGAGAGCGGAAUUCCCGGUGUAGAGGUGAAAUUCGUAGAUAUCGGGAGGAACACCAGUGGCGAAGGCGGUUCUCUGGGCCUUACCUGACGCUGAGGAGCGAAAGCGUGGGGAGCGAACAGG
RNAcentral lists this ribosomal RNA (253 nucleotides) under uncultured bacterium. Its description in RNAcentral is "partial 16S ribosomal RNA". It matches the Rfam family "Bacterial small subunit ribosomal RNA", at positions 524 to 776 of the family's 1533-position model. The record is from RNAcentral.